UACGAAGGGGGCUAGCGUUGCUCGGAAUUACUGGGCGUAAAGGGUGCGUAGGCGGUUGUUUAAGUCUGUCGUGAAAUCCCCGGGCUCAACCUGGGAAUGGCGAUGGAUACUGGGCAGCUAGAGUGUGUCAGAGGAUGGUGGAAUUCCCGGUGUAGCGGUGAAAUGCGUAGAGAUCGGGAGGAACAUCAGUGGCGAAGGCGGCCAUCUGGGACAACACUGACGCUGAAGCACGAAAGCGUGGGGAGCAAACAGG
RNAcentral lists this ribosomal RNA (253 nucleotides) under uncultured bacterium. Its description in RNAcentral is "partial 16S ribosomal RNA". It matches the Rfam family "Bacterial small subunit ribosomal RNA", at positions 524 to 776 of the family's 1533-position model. The record is from RNAcentral.